CUGAUUGUAAUCUUUCAGUUUAGCACAGAUCUUGAAGAUCAGCUUGGCUUUGGCCAUAUUUAUAACGUACACGAUCCAGUACUACGUUGCUAUUGACAUUACGUGGACACAGUACCUGAGCCCAAAAUUCGAAGGGAAACCGAGAAAGGAAGUUUGGGAGUACGUAACGAGGACUGUACUCGUUUUACUUACAUUUAUACUGGCUGUGACCGUCCCAGCGUUGGACUUAUUCAUCUCCUUAUUUGGAGCGCUCUGUCUGUCUGCACUGGGUAUAACCAUACCUGCGGCUAUUGAGACGUCAACCUACUGGUACACCAGGGACGGAUUUAGCUUUUAUUUUAUGGUCGUUAAGAACGCGGCGUUAAUAGUCUUUAGUCUUCUGGGAUUGGUUGCCGGUACCUACAUAAGUUUGCGCGACAUUAUCGUCGAAUUUUCAUAAUCUUAGAUUGUAACUCAUAAGUGAAUCAGUAUUAUCAAUCUGUAAAUAGUGCUUUGUUAUCAAUAAACGAUGUUUUCGACA
Molecule: long non-coding RNA, 520 nt
Organism: Photinus pyralis (common eastern firefly)
Lineage: Eukaryota; Metazoa; Arthropoda; Insecta; Coleoptera; Lampyridae
Exons: 2
Source: RefSeq, a predicted model, not a curated record